AAAAAUACAAACCCUGAGUUUUCGUGUUCAAUUUUGACUGUUCGUCUUAUAUAAAUUUUUUUUAUAAUUCGUAUUUUUAUUAUUGUUAGAUGAUAAAACAUGAUUAAUAUUUUAUGCGUGACUUGUCUUUUUAAUUUUUUUCAUAAUUUUUUCAAAUAAAACGGACGGUCAAACGUUGGGCACGGAAAUCAGGGUUUGUCUUUUU
Molecule: non-coding RNA, 205 nt
Organism: Oryza barthii
Lineage: Eukaryota; Viridiplantae; Streptophyta; Magnoliopsida; Poales; Poaceae
Source: Rfam